AAACUGCGAUAAGUAGUGUGAAUUGCAUUUAGUGAAUCAUCGAGUCUUUGAACGCACCUUGCACUCACUGGUAUUCCGGUGAGUACGCCUGUUUCAGUAUCAUUGAAAACACACAAUCAAAACAUUUUCUUUGGUUUGAUUGGCUUUGGGUCUAUCAAAAAGUUUGGCUUGUUUCUUACAAGCCAAGCGGCCUGAAAUAUAUUGUCUGGCUAAUUGCAUCGUUGAUGAUCGCUAUUAGACUUUGGCUUUUUUAAAUGAACUGGAGGUUGAUUAACCAGUUUUAGCUUUAGUCAAAUGGUCAUUGUAAAAAAAAUCUCGAUCUUGGCUAGGUGUUUAUAGCCGAAAAUUUUUUUUUUGGCUAUAACCGAAACCAAUAUAAUCACAUUUAGUUAUCGAUCUGAAAUCAGGUGGGACUACCCGCUGAACUUAAGC
Molecule: unclassified non-coding RNA, 432 nt
Filed under: plant metagenome
Description: partial contains 5.8S ribosomal RNA, internal transcribed spacer 2, and large subunit ribosomal RNA
Rfam family: 5.8S ribosomal RNA (bases 1-102)
Source: RNAcentral